Molecule: long non-coding RNA, 2340 nt
Organism: Bombyx mori (domestic silkworm)
Lineage: Eukaryota; Metazoa; Arthropoda; Insecta; Lepidoptera; Bombycidae
Exons: 2
Source: RefSeq, a predicted model, not a curated record
AUCGAAAGAAUUAUAUCCUAACAUUUGUUUAAUGUGUAUUUUAGCGAAAAAUAUGCGUGUAUGAAUUGAAACAUAUCUUUGAUACUGGCCACAAUUUGGCGGUGAGGCUGAAUUUUUUUUAAGGCUGUCUGCUUCAAAAUAAACUUUCAACUAAAAUUUGUUUGAACAAGACAGUAUACAGGUUAGUAGUACAAAUACAGAUGACUAGCUUUUACCCACUAGCUCGCGCGCGUGCUCAAGAAAAUGUGUUAGUGUAGUUUCCCGUGCAAACAUGUUCGGGAUGAAAGGUAAUGUCACUCUCCUGACCUAAUAUUAUCACUUUAAAAUCACGUCAAUCCGUAGGAUCGUUUUGACGCGAAAGAAGGACAAACAAACACAUUUUCACAUUUAUAAUAUUAGUAUGGAAGUAUGGAUAUUUAUAUGGAGAUGUUACAACACCAUUUAUUUUGAAACUCCAUUUUUUACGUUGGAUUUUAAUAGUGAUUGUUCUAAGCCCGUUGUCCGAGAAGAACUCAUUCUGUUUAGCUUUAUUCAAGUAAUCUUACAUGGUAUUUGUCCAAUGGGUUAUUAAUCUAGAACUACAGCCUCGAAAGCCCUAAUACCUCAAACUACUUCUACUUCUAUGUACCAUAUUCUCCUAACUAUACUCCUAAUUUAUUCUUUGAGUACUAGUAGUAGAUUGUGUAGUAAGCACACAUUUUACAUUGAUACUAAUCAUCAUAGGUAUUGUCAACACCAUUCGAGUAAUUUGAUUGACUUAAAAAUGGCGGAGCCGGAGAUAAGAUAGCGCCUACAGUUUCACAUCUCUCAUGAAGAUAUUAAAUAGUUUGUUUCUGUGUAGGGGAGUAAUCUCGGGAACUACUUAUGGGACACCUGUGUGAACUCAGCAUCCGUGCUUAGAAACAUCGUUCUAAUUUAGGUGUGUUCAAAGAUUUUCAUUAAUAGUGGAUAUUUGUGACACAAUUAGCCGGAAUGCCAAAAUUAAAACAACCAAAAAAUGUCGUGCCCACAUGCUUUAAAUUCUUUGGGAAUAAAACCGAGAAUCAUGCCUCCCACGAUCAGCAAUCUUACCUCACAUACCUUAUCUUUUCAUUGCCACUUCUAACGGCCGUUUUCAAUAACCUAUCUAUCCCUAGUUUCGGUUACUAAAGAUAGACAAAUCUAUAUUUUUGUCCUUACUUACGUUCCAAUAACCUAUCGACGGGCAGCAGUUCCUAUCGGAUUUAUCUAUCCAUCGUCGGGAGGACGGAUAGCCAGCUAAAGAUAGAACGCUCAUACAAAUCGUGCUUACUUCCGUUUCAAUAUGAGUUUUAAGUAACUCUCCGGUAGGCGGCGCUAUCUCUAGUAUGGGCAUUCGCUUAUCUGUCAAAAUCGGCCGGUUACAUGUUUAUCUUUCGAAAGUAAAUCGCUAUAAUUUAAUAAUUGUUUCUCUUCAUAUUGGCAUAUUGUAGCAGUGAUGAUAGUGAUAUGGAAUUAUUUCUAAUGAUAAUGGAUUGUGAUGCAGAUAGUGAUAGUGAGGCCGAUAUCAUAUGGUUAGGAAAAUAAAGAUCGUCUGAAUUACAUGGCGAAGAUCAAUAAUUACGAAUUUGACUAUAGAUUUCUGAGCAAAGGUGUUGUGAAUGAAUUGAUUAAUUUAAUGAGACCAUAUUUGAGUGUAACGUCAAAAAGGUAAGAUAAAUUUUAACCAUAAAAGUACUCGUUAUUACAACUUAUAUUUGUUUAUAGCAAUAGCAAAAUUAUACCUAAUUUUUGUUGUGUUACAAAAUCACACUCAACAGGAAUUCUAUAAUACUGCUGGAUUCCCAUGGUGCCCUAAAUGACAUUCAUAUACUAAUACAAUAACCUGGUAGGCUAUUUACCUUCAUUCUUAUUACACACUGAUACCUCUACAUUUUAUAUUUGUGUUACAGAUUCAAAUAUAGGAGAGGAAUUUAGAAAUAGAAAAAGAGUAUUUUGAAUGUGUAAUUUGUGUGCAAUGCAUCAUUGAUGUUUCAAAAUGUUGUUGCUUGAUGGCCUGGGUCUACUCAUGAUACAACUAUAAUUAACCAUUCCGAUUGAAAAGAUGCAUUGGUGUUUGUAAAAGAAGACUCCCUGUACAUCAUUGAAAAGUAGAUUAAAACUAGAAAAUAUGCAAGCUGUUAUUAUAGCUGCCAUGCUGCAUAAUAUCGUUAGAAGUAUGAAUUUAGAGGAAUUAGAAUCAGAAAUUUCAGUCGCAGAUACAUUACAGGAAAAUAAUAUAAUUGUUCGUAACAAAUUUUCAAAACUUACAUCUGAAAUACAACUAUGUACUUAUAAAUAAUUGCUUCCAAAGAUAAUUUAUAAAAUAAACUCCAAAGAUAA